GCAGACGGAGAGAGACGGGGUGAAAGGCUAUAUGCGGCCAGCUGAAGGGAGCUGAGUGACUGGCGGAGGAGGAGGCCAGAGAGCUGAGCUAGGGGAGCCACGGAUACCGCUAACCUGAUCCAUCUCCUGGAGACUGAUGAACGGAGGCAGGCGGGCGAUGAGCUGUUGUGACGGAAAUAACCCCAGCUGUAACCAGAGCUGCUAAUGAUGCUGCAGGAGCAAACAUGUUCAAGUCAAAACCAGGUUGGAAUCUCGGAUCUUCAGACGUCUCGUACGCCAAAAAGACAAGGACUCACUGCAGAGAAAGGUUUUGACAUUGUGUAUAAAAGAGAAGACCCAUUAUCCUCCCCU
Molecule: long non-coding RNA, 351 nt
Organism: Pseudophryne corroboree (corroboree frog)
Lineage: Eukaryota; Metazoa; Chordata; Amphibia; Anura; Myobatrachidae
Exons: 3
Source: RefSeq, a predicted model, not a curated record